GUGGAUAUUGAGGGAGAAACAGAAAAAUCCAAGACAAUCCCCUGUGGAAGAAAAUUCUCCAACCCAAAACUCAACUGAACUCAAAGCGCUGAACAGCGCGUCAAUUAAGACCUGUCAAAUAUAAUCACACGG
This 132-nucleotide long non-coding RNA is filed under the name Pan troglodytes (chimpanzee). RNAcentral's name for it is "lincRNA". Lineage: Eukaryota; Metazoa; Chordata; Mammalia; Primates; Hominidae. The record is from RNAcentral.